AUUGAACGCUAGCGGGAUGCCUUACACAUGCAAGUCGAACGGAGUGGCGAACGGGUGAGUAAUGUAUCGGAACGUGCCCAGUAGUGGGGGAUAACUACGCGAAAGCGUAGCUAAUACAGCAUACUAUUGGAGCGGCCGAUAGCGGAUUAGCUAGUGGGUGGGGUAACGGCUCACCAAGGCGACGAUCGGUAGCGGGUUUGAGAGGACGACCAGCCACACUGGGACGGAGACACGGCCCAGAAUCCUAAGGGGGGCAUCGGUGGGGAAUUUGGGACAAUGGGGGCAACCCUGGUCCAGCCAUCCCGCGUGUGCGAUGAAGGCCUUCGGGUUUUAAAGGACUUUUAGCAGGAAAGCGGUACCUGCAGAAUAAGCACCGGCUAACUUCGUGCCAGCAGCCGCGGUAAUUC
Molecule: ribosomal RNA, 407 nt
Filed under: uncultured bacterium
Lineage: Bacteria
Description: partial 16S ribosomal RNA
Rfam family: Bacterial small subunit ribosomal RNA
Source: RNAcentral